Molecule: ribosomal RNA, 301 nt
Filed under: uncultured bacterium
Lineage: Bacteria
Description: partial 16S ribosomal RNA
Rfam family: Bacterial small subunit ribosomal RNA
Source: RNAcentral
CAGUCGCCGCGGGAAUACGAAGGGUGCAAGCGUUAAUCGGAAUUACUGGGCGUAAAGCGUGCGUAGGCGGUUUGUUAAGUCUGUUGUGAAAUCCCCGGGCUCAACCUGGGAAUGGCGAUGGAUACUGGCAAGCUAGAGUGUGUCAGAGGAUGGUGGAAUUCCCGGUGUAGCGGUGAAAUGCGUAGAGAUCGGGAGGAACAUCAGUGGCGAAGGCGGCCAUCUGGGACAACACUGACGCUGAGGCACGAAAGCGUGGGGAGCAAACAGGAUUAGAUACCCCAGUAGUCCCUGUCUCUUAUAC